UCGACCUUAGCUCAGUUGGUAGAGCGGAGGACUGUAGUUUGAUUAAUCUAAAGUUGGAAAUCCUUAGGUCGCUGGUUCGAAUCCGGCAGGUCGGA
Ipomoea nil (Japanese morning glory) is the source of this 95-nucleotide transfer RNA. It matches the Rfam family "tRNA". From Rfam's summary of the family: Transfer RNA (tRNA) molecules are approximately 80 nucleotides in length. Their secondary structure includes four short double-helical elements and three loops (D, anti-codon, and T loops). Further hydrogen bonds mediate the characteristic L-shaped molecular structure. tRNAs have two regions of fundamental functional importance: the anti-codon, which is responsible for specific mRNA codon recognition, and the 3' end, to which the tRNAs corresponding amino acid is attached (by aminoacyl-tRNA synthetases). tRNAs cope with the degeneracy of the genetic code in two manners: having more than one tRNA (with a specific anti-codon) for a particular amino acid; and 'wobble' base-pairing, i.e. permitting non-standard base-pairing at the 3rd anti-codon position. The record is from Rfam. Lineage: Eukaryota; Viridiplantae; Streptophyta; Magnoliopsida; Solanales; Convolvulaceae.